GCGGUGAUGACUUUCCACUGUUUGCACGCGUUAGACUGCUGAUGCGGAUGAUGCAAUCGGAGUCUGAGC
Small nucleolar RNA from Nannospalax galili (Upper Galilee mountains blind mole rat), 69 nucleotides. RefSeq annotates it as small nucleolar RNA SNORD104. The transcript has a single exon. NCBI's taxonomy places the organism in Eukaryota, Metazoa, Chordata, Mammalia, Rodentia, Spalacidae. The record is from RefSeq and is a predicted model, not a curated record.